CGAGUUAGCCGGACGGUCGCAUCGGUUUCGAUGAGGAAAGUCCGAGCAUCACAGGGCAAGAAUGCAGGCUAACGGCCUGCGAAGGCGACUUCAGGGAUAGUGCAACAGAAAUAUACCGCACCGACCUUCGGGAAUGACGACGACUUUAUAAGCAUUUAUAUCCGUCGUCUAUGGUGUAAGGGUGGAACGGCGAGGUAAGAGCUCACCGGCGGCUUGGCGACAAGUCGGCCAUGUAAACCCCAUUCGAUGCAAGAGAAGUCAGACGCAGGGUGGCCCGCCCGUCUGCAAAAUCGCUUGAACGCGCAGGUAACUGCGCGUCUAGACAGAUGACCGUUCAAGACAGAACUCGGCUUACAGACUAAUCUCGCCGC
This is a non-coding RNA of Faecalibacterium sp. CAG:1138, 371 nucleotides long. It matches the Rfam family "Bacterial RNase P class A". Rfam says of the family: Ribonuclease P (RNase P) is a ubiquitous endoribonuclease, found in archaea, bacteria and eukarya as well as chloroplasts and mitochondria. Its best characterised activity is the generation of mature 5'-ends of tRNAs by cleaving the 5'-leader elements of precursor-tRNAs. Lineage: Bacteria; Bacillati; Bacillota; Clostridia; Eubacteriales; Oscillospiraceae. The record is from Rfam.